This 105-nucleotide ribosomal RNA is filed under the name uncultured bacterium. RNAcentral describes it as "partial 16S ribosomal RNA". It matches the Rfam family "Archaeal small subunit ribosomal RNA", at positions 1325 to 1429 of the family's 1478-position model. The record is from RNAcentral.
CGUCCCUGCUCCUUGCACACACCGCCCGUCGUUCCACCCGAGCGACUCUUGGGUGAGGCGUGGUCAUCUUGGCUGCGUCGAAUCUUUAGUUUUGUAAGGGGGGAA